UACGUAGGGGGCAAGCGUUGUCCGGAUUCAUUGGGCGUAAAGAGCGUGUAGGCGGCCAGGUAGGUCGGUUGUGAAAACUGGAGGCUCAACCUUCAGAGGUCGACCGAAACCAUCUGGCUAGAGUCCGGGAGAGGAGAGUGGAAUUCCUGGUGUAGCGGUGAAAUGCGCAGAUAUCAGGAAGAACACCCGUGGCGAAAGCGGCUCUCUGGAACGGUACUGACGCUGAGGCACGAAAGCGUGGGGAGCGAACAGG
Molecule: ribosomal RNA, 253 nt
Filed under: uncultured bacterium
Lineage: Bacteria
Description: partial 16S ribosomal RNA
Rfam family: Bacterial small subunit ribosomal RNA
Source: RNAcentral